CGCACCUUGCACCCUUUGGUAUUCCGAAGGGUAUGCCUGUUUGAGUGUCAUUAAAUUCUCAAACUGAAUGGAUUAGUUUAUUCUGAUCACUUCAAGUUUGGAUCUGAGGGCUUUUGUCGGACUCUAACGAGGUCGACUCCCUUUAAAUGCAUUAGCGGAUUUAACCAUCGUGGAUACGCCUCGAUUUGAUAAUAUCUAUGUCGUCGCGCUGAAGCGGUAAUCUGCUCCUAACCGUCCUCUCUGUGGGACAACUUUAUUUGACAAUUUGACCUCAAAUCAGGUAGGACUACCCGCUGAACUUAA
This 303-nucleotide unclassified non-coding RNA is filed under the name Mycena sp. RNAcentral describes it as "partial contains 5.8S ribosomal RNA, internal transcribed spacer 2, and large subunit ribosomal RNA". The record is from RNAcentral. Lineage: Eukaryota; Fungi; Basidiomycota; Agaricomycetes; Agaricales; Mycenaceae.